AAAGUAUGAUGAAACAUUUACCCAGCUCGCUUUGAUAUACAAUGAAGAGAACUGUUCCAUAUCCAACGCAAAACUAAAAUGCUGAUU
This is a small nucleolar RNA of Drosophila melanogaster (fruit fly), 87 nucleotides long. The record is from Ensembl. NCBI's taxonomy places the organism in Eukaryota, Metazoa, Arthropoda, Insecta, Diptera, Drosophilidae.